CACCCUCUAUGCACUGCAUUUUGCGGUGAACAGAUGCACUGCUAAGGAAUGGAGUAGCAGCCCCUGGAACAGUUUGAGCAGGGGAAGAACACUUAGAGGAGUUUACUUACUACAGAUGGAGUCUGGAAGGUGCAGAGAGAGUGCAGUGCUCAUUGACACAGCAGGCUGGGACUAAACCCCGGGAGUUCCGCCAUGGGAUUCUGAGGGAACUGUAGUGACCUACAGAGGUGCUGCAUGGCUUCUGGGUCGCAGUGUCGCCUAUCUCCUCCCCUGGCUCCUAAACCUCAUUCAUUCCUCUCAUCUGGAUUGGAAUGCAGCCCGUAGACACUUAAUAAUCAGAUCUGGAACACUUCUGAUAUCAGACUGACGUCCCUCCUCCGAAGCACCCG
Molecule: long non-coding RNA, 389 nt
Organism: Esox lucius (northern pike)
Lineage: Eukaryota; Metazoa; Chordata; Actinopteri; Esociformes; Esocidae
Source: Ensembl